AAAUUGAAGAGUUUGAUCAUGGCUCAGAUUGAACGCUGGCGGCAGGCCUAACACAUGCAAGUCGAACGGUAACAGGAAGCAGCUUGCUGCUUCGCUGACGAGUGGCGGACGGGUGAGUAAUGUCUGGGAAACUGCCUGAUGGAGGGGGAUAACUACUGGAAACGGUAGCUAAUACCGCAUAACGUCGCAAGACCAAAGAGGGGGACCUUCGGGCCUCUUGCCAUCGGAUGUGCCCAGAUGGGAUUAGCUUGUUGGUGGGGUAACGGCUCACCAAGGCGACGAUCCCUAGCUGGUCUGAGAGGAUGACCAGCCACACUGGAACUGAGACACGGUCCAGACUCCUACGGGAGGCAGCAGUGGGGAAUAUUGCACAAUGGGCGCAAGCCUGAUGCA
This 393-nucleotide ribosomal RNA is filed under the name Escherichia coli. RNAcentral's name for it is "bacterial SSU rRNA". It matches the Rfam family "Bacterial small subunit ribosomal RNA", at positions 1 to 390 of the family's 1533-position model. Lineage: Bacteria; Pseudomonadati; Pseudomonadota; Gammaproteobacteria; Enterobacterales; Enterobacteriaceae. The record is from RNAcentral.